Molecule: transfer RNA, 85 nt
Filed under: Actinomycetota bacterium
Lineage: Bacteria; Bacillati; Actinomycetota
Description: tRNA-Leu
Rfam family: tRNA
About the family: Transfer RNA (tRNA) molecules are approximately 80 nucleotides in length. Their secondary structure includes four short double-helical elements and three loops (D, anti-codon, and T loops). Further hydrogen bonds mediate the characteristic L-shaped molecular structure. tRNAs have two regions of fundamental functional importance: the anti-codon, which is responsible for specific mRNA codon recognition, and the 3' end, to which the tRNAs corresponding amino acid is attached (by aminoacyl-tRNA synthetases). tRNAs cope with the degeneracy of the genetic code in two manners: having more than one tRNA (with a specific anti-codon) for a particular amino acid; and 'wobble' base-pairing, i.e. permitting non-standard base-pairing at the 3rd anti-codon position.
Source: RNAcentral
GGGCGAGUGGCGGAAUUUGGUAGACGCGCUAGGUUCAGGGUCUAGUGGCCGAGAGGCCGUGGGGGUUCGAGUCCCCCCUCGCCCA